Molecule: long non-coding RNA, 1240 nt
Organism: Arachis ipaensis
Lineage: Eukaryota; Viridiplantae; Streptophyta; Magnoliopsida; Fabales; Fabaceae
Source: RefSeq, a predicted model, not a curated record
AUGUAAACUUAAUAUUUUUAUUAUAAAAAUUAUUAUCAUAUUAUAUAUAUUUUGCUCCCACUAUCAAAAUUUUUUGGAUCCGUCACUGCAUAUUAUAUAUCUUGUGUGUUGUAUAAAUAUUGGCAUCUCUGGUGGGAUGGCAAAAUAAUUUGAUCGAGGAUAGAUACUUAUAACUAAAAGUGAAAAGAAAAAUGAUGAAAUUUUUUUAAGAUAAACCAACUAUUAUUUCUGUUUUAUUAUUUAUUGUGGUUUUCAUAAGAAAUGACUUUGUAAAUUUCUUACCAAUAUCCAAUAUGAAAGGUGAACCGUCAAAAUCGCCCUUGAUUUUUUAAAAUACAAACAAAAAUACUUUUUCACUUUUGAUAACGAACAAAAUAUCUUUAAACUAUUAUAAAACACAAUAAAAAUAACUAAAAAUAAUAUUUUUUAGAGUCAAUAGUCAUUCUGACACUUAAAAAAUUCUGUUUUUGUUAAAAUAGACCCCAAAAUUUAUUUUUGAUAAAAUGAAUCCAAAAAAAUAUGUACUAUUUGACAAAAUAGCCUCAACGUAACUCUUCGACGUUAACGGAAAUGUCUAAGUGGCACGUUAAGGGCUUACCUAAAGGAUUAGAGUGAUUUACGUGGGGUUGAUUCACAUUUUAACCUGAAGAAAACCCUAAGUUCCAAAUUGAGUAGGUGGUGGAGCAAAAAUGAAAAAGAAAUCUUUGUUGACAGAGAACAACGUUUUUAUCUGCGAGACAACUAUGAGGGCUGAAGAAGGGAAAAACCAUUUGAUGAAACCUGCUUAUGCUGUUAGGAGGUUUAAUUCGGGUCAACCCUUGAUGUUGAUUUUUUUGACAGAAAUUGAGAAUGGGAUGUGGCCAUGUGAGUAUUUUGUUUGGAUUGAUGAAGAGGAAGAAGACAUUAAAAAAAAUUAAAUUGAAUGUUGAAAGGAGUAAAGCGAUGAAAAGUUUGGACAAUGAGAGAAUUACAAGGCAACAGCUAUGAGGUCAUUUGUGUUUGAACAGUACAUGAGGAGGAUAGAGACUUUGUUGUUGGUGCUUGUAAUUGGGGUAGCUAUAGUUAUAUUUAUGAACAUGUUCUCUUUAUUUAGGUAGUGAGAGUGUUGUUGUUGUAUGAUAGUAAAAAUUAGUAAUAGAGAAUGCUACUUUUAGGUGUGAUGAAUGUUGAAUUUGUAUCCAAAAUGAAUAUGUAUUUCCUGAACAUGUGCUAAAUGCAACAAUGACGAUUCUUUAUCAGA